UAUCGACUGUUGAGGGAACAAUAUCUGCAUUUUCUACACCCGCCUUCCGCACAAGAUACAUUCGCAGGAGCUUCUUGGGCAGGGUGGGAACUUACAUGCGAAGUGUUAUGCCUCUACAAAAUUUCCCAGGUAUAAUCCCUAGUAUCUGACAUCCGCCCCUCCCCUACACCUGAGCACGCCUUCACGUGUGCGCCAGCAAUUUCCAAAUCAACAAGUGACCUGAAUGUGGGGCCAUAAAAAUAGCAGACUGCAGCAGAGAACACGGAGCUGGAGCUGGAAGACACAGGGAAUCUUAUCGUUUACGACUCUUUCUCCUGAUGAACGGACAAGGGACUGGAAACCUUCAACUUAAAGCCUCUGUACAAAAAGCUCUUUUUUAAAAAAAAGGCUUCCUUCCUGUUAGCAGGACAAUCUCCACAGUACAACGUGUUGUCAUGUUGGUGGUCUGGCCCAAUCGACAUGGAAUGUGUUUCUGUUUUUAUUCUGUGAUUUGCUCUUACUCUGUGAUUUUACCUGCCUGUACAGCACUUUGGUCAAUGUGGGUUGUAUUUAAACGUGCUUUAUAAAUAAAUUUGAUUUGAUUGAUUUGAACAAGUGGCCUGAUUAUGGCCAAACCCUGCUGUUAACUGGGUAAACAGCAGUGUAUGCAGUAAUGCAAGCAUAGAAAUAAACUGGGCCUUA
This is a long non-coding RNA of Anguilla anguilla (European eel), 681 nucleotides long. RefSeq lists it as uncharacterized. The record is from RefSeq and is a predicted model, not a curated record. The transcript has 2 exons. Lineage: Eukaryota; Metazoa; Chordata; Actinopteri; Anguilliformes; Anguillidae.